UGGGGAAUAUUGCGCAAUGGGGGAAACCCUGACGCAGCAACGCCGCGUGAGUGAAGAAGGCCUUCGGGUCGUAAAGCUCUGUCUUCAGGGACGAGAAAAGACGGUACCUGAGGAGGAAGCCACGGCUAACUACGUGCCAGCAGCCGCGGUAAUACGUAGGUGGCGAGCGUUGUCCGGAAUUACUGGGCGUAAAGGGUGCGUAGGCGGGUUUUUAAGUCAGAUGUGAAACCCCCGGGCUUAACCUGGGGAUUGCAUUUGAAACUGGGGACCUAGAGUGCAGGAGAGGGAAGCGGAAUUCCUAGUGUAGCGGUGAAAUGCGUAGAUAUUAGGAAGAACACCAGUGGCGAAGGCGGCUUUCUGGACUGUAACUGACGCUGAGGCACGAAAGCGUGGGGAGCAAACAGG
Molecule: ribosomal RNA, 405 nt
Filed under: uncultured prokaryote
Also listed under: 1 other name
Description: bacterial SSU rRNA
Rfam family: Bacterial small subunit ribosomal RNA
Source: RNAcentral